RNAcentral lists this ribosomal RNA (704 nucleotides) under uncultured Bacteroidales bacterium. Its description in RNAcentral is "bacterial SSU rRNA". It matches the Rfam family "Bacterial small subunit ribosomal RNA", at positions 46 to 740 of the family's 1533-position model. Lineage: Bacteria; Pseudomonadati; Bacteroidota; Bacteroidia; Bacteroidales. The record is from RNAcentral.
GCUUAACACAUGCAAGUCGAGGGGCAGCAUGGUCUUAGCUUGCUAAGGCCGAUGGCGACCGGCGCACGGGUGAGUAACACGUAUCCAACCUGCCGUCUACUCUUGGACAGCCUUCUGAAAGGAAGAUUAAUACAAGAUGGCAUCAUGAGUCCGCAUGUUCACAUGAUUAAAGGUAUUCCGGUAGACGAUGGGGAUGCGUUCCAUUAGAUAGUAGGCGGGGUAACGGCCCACCUAGUCUUCGAUGGAUAGGGGUUCUGAGAGGAAGGUCCCCCACAUUGGAACUGAGACACGGUCCAAACUCCUACGGGAGGCAGCAGUGAGGAAUAUUGGUCAAUGGGCGAGAGCCUGAACCAGCCAAGUAGCGUGAAGGAUGACUGCCCUAUGGGUUGUAAACUUCUUUUAUAAAGGAAUAAAGUCGGGUAUGGAUACCCGUUUGCAUGUACUUUAUGAAUAAGGAUCGGCUAACUCCGUGCCAGCAGCCGCGGUAAUACGGAGGAUCCGAGCGUUAUCCGGAUUUAUUGGGUUUAAAGGGAGCGUAGAUGGAUGUUUAAGUCAGUUGUGAAAGUUUGCGGCUCAACCGUAAAAUUGCAGUUGAUACUGGAUAUCUUGAGUGCAGUUGAGGCAGGCGGAAUUCGUGGUGUAGCGGUGAAAUGCUUAGAUAUCACGAAGACUCCGAUUGCGAAGGCAGCCUGCUAAGCUGCAAC